AGUGAACGCUGGCGGUAGGCCUAACACAUGCAAGUCGAACGGCAGCACAGUAAGAGCUUGCUCUUACGGGUGGCGAGUGGCGGACGGGUGAGGAAUACAUCGGCAUCUACUUUUUCGUGGGGGAUAACGUAGGGAAACUUACGCUAAUACCGCAUACGACCUACGGGUGAAAGCAGGGGAUCUUCGGACCUUGCGCGAUUGAAUGAGCCGAUGUCGGAUUAGCUAGUUGGCGGGGUAAAGGCCCACCAAGGCGACGAUCCGUAGCUGGUCUGAGAGGAUGAUCAGCCACACUGGAACUGAGACACGGUCCAGACUCCUACGGGAGGCAGCAGUGGGGAAUAUUGGACAAUGGGCGCAAGCCUGAUCCAGCCAUACCGCGUGGGUGAAGAAGGCCUUCGGGUUGUAAAGCCCUUUUGUUGGGAAAGAAAAGCAGCAGGUUAAUACCCCGCUGUUCUGACGGUACCCAAAGAAUAAGCACCGGCUAACUUCGUGC
This 493-nucleotide ribosomal RNA is filed under the name uncultured bacterium. RNAcentral describes it as "partial 16S ribosomal RNA". It matches the Rfam family "Bacterial small subunit ribosomal RNA", at positions 29 to 508 of the family's 1533-position model. The record is from RNAcentral.